UCGGGAAUUUUGCGCAAUGGACGAAAGUCUGACGCAGCAACGCCGCGUGAGUGAUGAAGGUCUUCGGAUUGUAAAGCUCUGUUGAGUGGGAAGAAAAGUUUCGGGCAUAAUACCUCGGAACCUGACGGUACCAUUCGAGGAAGCCCCGGCUAACUACGUGCCAGCAGCCGCGGUAAUACGUAGGGGGCAAGCGUUGUUCGGAAUCACUGGGCGUAAAGGGAGAGUAGGCGGGAAAAUAAGUUAGGAGUUUAAUGUCCGGGCUUAACCCGGAAUCUGCUUCUAAUACUGUUUUUCUUGAGUAUUGGAGAGGGAGAUGGAAUUCCAGGUGUAGCGGUGGAAUGCGUAGAUAUCUGGAAGAACACCAGCUGCGAAGGCGGUCUCCUGGCCAAAUACUGACGCUGAUGCUCGAAAGCUAGGGGAGCAAACAGG
This 429-nucleotide ribosomal RNA is filed under the name uncultured bacterium. RNAcentral's name for it is "bacterial SSU rRNA". It matches the Rfam family "Bacterial small subunit ribosomal RNA", at positions 355 to 776 of the family's 1533-position model. The record is from RNAcentral.